UAAAGGCCUACCAAGGCGACGAUCGUUAGCUGGUCUGAGAGGAUGAUCAGCCACACUGGGACUGAGACACGGCCCAGACUCCUACGGGAGGCAGCAGUGGGGAAUAUUGGACAAUGGGCGCAAGCCUGAUCCAGCAAUGCCGCGUGGGUGAAGAAGGUUUUCGGAUUGUAAAGCACUUUCGGCGGGGACGAUGAUGACGGUACCCGCAGAAGAAGCUCCGCCUAACUUCGUGCCAGCAGCCGCGGUAAUACGAAGGGGGCUAGCGUUGCUCGGAAUGACUGGGCGUAAGGGGCGCGUAGGCGGUUUGCACAGUCGGGCGUGAAAUUCAUUAGUAUAACCUGGGGACUGCAUUCGAGACGUGUAGGCUUGAGUGGGGAAGAGGGUCGUGGAAUUCCCAGCGUAGAGGUGAAAUU
Molecule: ribosomal RNA, 413 nt
Filed under: uncultured soil bacterium
Lineage: Bacteria
Description: bacterial SSU rRNA
Rfam family: Bacterial small subunit ribosomal RNA
Source: RNAcentral